GGUGGCUCAGUGGUAGAGUGCUUGCCUUGCAUGCAUGAGGUCUGGGUUCAAUUCCUCAGCACCA
RNAcentral lists this transfer RNA (64 nucleotides) under Dipodomys ordii (Ord's kangaroo rat). It matches the Rfam family "tRNA". Rfam says of the family: Transfer RNA (tRNA) molecules are approximately 80 nucleotides in length. The record is from Rfam by way of RNAcentral. Lineage: Eukaryota; Metazoa; Chordata; Mammalia; Rodentia; Heteromyidae.